GGGCGCAUAGCUCAGCGGGAGAGCACUACCUUGACAUGGUAGGGGUCACAGGUUCAAUCCCUGUUGCGCCCACCA
This 75-nucleotide transfer RNA is filed under the name Asticcacaulis solisilvae. Its description in RNAcentral is "tRNA-Val". It matches the Rfam family "tRNA". From Rfam's summary of the family: Transfer RNA (tRNA) molecules are approximately 80 nucleotides in length. Their secondary structure includes four short double-helical elements and three loops (D, anti-codon, and T loops). The record is from RNAcentral. RNAcentral also lists the same sequence under 22 other names. Lineage: Bacteria; Pseudomonadati; Pseudomonadota; Alphaproteobacteria; Caulobacterales; Caulobacteraceae.